RNAcentral lists this non-coding RNA (87 nucleotides) under Stenotrophomonas lactitubi. Lineage: Bacteria; Pseudomonadati; Pseudomonadota; Gammaproteobacteria; Lysobacterales; Lysobacteraceae. The record is from RNAcentral. RNAcentral also lists the same sequence under 1 other name.
UGCUUUGGCGGGCGGUGCGUGGGGCCGCAUGGCCGCCGUUCUUCCUUCGGAUCACGGUCUUUCAACCACGCAUCGCCUGCCGCCUUU